CCUACGGGCGGCAGCAGUGGGGAAUAUUGGGCAAUGGGCGCAAGCCUGACCCAGCAACGCCGCGUGAAGGAAGAAGGCCCUCGGGUUGUAAACUUCUUUUCUGAGGGACGAAGAAAGUGACGGUACCUCAGGAAUAAGCCACGGCUAACUACGUGCCAGCAGCCGCGGUAAUAGGUAGGUGGCAAGCGUUAUCCGGAUUUAUUGGGUGUAAAGGGCGCGUAGGCGGGAAAGCAAGUCCGAUGUGAAAACUCAGGGCUCAACCCUGAGCCUGGAUUUGAAACUGUUUUGCGUGAGUGCUGGAGAGGCAAUCGGAAUGCGGGGUGUAGCGGUGAAAUGCGUAGAUAUAAGGAAGAACACCAGUGGCGAAGGCAGAUUGCUGGACAGUAACUGACGCUGAGGCACGAAAGCGUGGGGAGCGAACAGGAUUAGAUACCCGAGUAGUC
Molecule: ribosomal RNA, 443 nt
Filed under: uncultured bacterium
Lineage: Bacteria
Description: partial 16S ribosomal RNA
Rfam family: Bacterial small subunit ribosomal RNA
Source: RNAcentral